GACGAACGCUGGCGGCGUGCUUAACACAUGCAAGUCGAACGGAAAGGCCCUGCUUUUGUGGGGUGCUCGAGUGGCGAACGGGUGAGUAACACGUGAGUAACCUGCCCUUGACUUUGGGAUAACUUCAGGAAACUGGGGCUAAUACCGGAUAGGAGCUCCUGCUGCAUGGUGGGGGUUGGAAAGUUUCGGCGGUUGGGGAUGGACUCGCGGCUUAUCAGCUUGUUGGUGGGGUAGUGGCUUACCAAGGCUUUGACGGGUAGCCGGCCUGAGAGGGUGACCGGCCACAUUGGGACUGAGAUACGGCCCAGACUCCUACGGGAGGCAGCAGUGGGGAAUAUUGCACAAUGGGCGGAAGCCUGAUGCAGCAACGCCGCGUGCGGGAUGACGGCCUUCGGGUUGUAAACCGCUUUCGCCUGUGACGAAGCGUGAGGGACGGGAAUGGGUAAAGAAGCAGCGGCGAACUACGU
This 467-nucleotide ribosomal RNA is filed under the name uncultured bacterium. RNAcentral describes it as "partial 16S ribosomal RNA". It matches the Rfam family "Bacterial small subunit ribosomal RNA", at positions 28 to 506 of the family's 1533-position model. The record is from RNAcentral.